GUUACUUGACUGGUACCUCCAGCCCACCAGCAGGCAAUGAUGGCAUCAGACUAGAGGAUCACCAGUAAAUCAUUGUAAACAUUCUUGAAUAUGAGUCAGUCUGGUAUGAACAUACCUCUAACAGCCUCGCAUACACACUUGCUGAUCUCCCCCUUACAAGCAACAGAAAACAGGUCUUGACCCAGAGCCUUCAACAAACAAGCGUGGAAAGAGAGAAAGUCCACUUUAAGCGAUGGAAAAUCAGCCCCAAUUCUGAAGGAACAACCAUGAACAGAUGAUUUAAGGAGAAUCAAUUCUUUGCUCUUUGCAGAAGGAGCCAACAGAGUGAGAUGAAGGGGACAACUUCAGAUACUCAGGCAGAAGCAUAAGUCCCCACCUGCUGACCUGCUGCCUGCUAUCUUAACACGAAUUCUUCAUCUGAAUGGAUGAGCUUUUCACAGAGUUCCAAACUAAGGAAUCCAGGAGUGGCCAAUCCAGAGAUUCAUUCCUUAUCUUUGACGAACAUCUGAACUCCUGGCUCAUCCUGUGGAAUUCAGGCCAUACAGGAGAUCAAGGUCAUUUGCUUUGGGUUAAAUGAAUGUUGCCAGGUGGAGGUUGCUAGAGGGAGAGUGCUAUGUGAAAGUGCUGUAUAAACUGCUUGCUUUUCACAAACAGUAGUGAUUCUUUAUCCUGUCCAGCCUGCCACAACUGGACCAUCCUGUAUGUAAGUCCCCUUAAUAAAUCCUGUGUCUCAUUCACUGGCUUCAAGUCUCUUCCUGGGCCUCUUGAACGUGGUGCCACCUGUAUUGAAGUCAACAGAAGUUCAGCACAACACAGGUCAAAAUGAAGAUUCUGACUCAGUAGGUCAGGAUGUUCUAACGAGCUCUAGCUGACAUGAUACGUCAGGGCUGCAGACUAGCUUUGAGCAACAAGGUGCUAGAGAAAUACCUAUAGAACAACAGAGAUGCAAGACAAAUGAGUUGGAAGUUAAAAGAUUUAAAUUCUUGUCUUAGUUUUCUCAUUAAAGAAAAGCUGUGUGACUAUGAAAAAAAA
RNAcentral lists this long non-coding RNA (1032 nucleotides) under Homo sapiens (human). RNAcentral's name for it is "long intergenic non-protein coding RNA 2616". The record is from RNAcentral. Lineage: Eukaryota; Metazoa; Chordata; Mammalia; Primates; Hominidae.